Molecule: long non-coding RNA, 1275 nt
Organism: Tetranychus urticae (two-spotted spider mite)
Lineage: Eukaryota; Metazoa; Arthropoda; Arachnida; Trombidiformes; Tetranychidae
Source: RefSeq, a predicted model, not a curated record
AUCAAAUCAUUCUCUAAAAGCAAAUUUGCUUUAAUUGGCACUAAACAUUAACCAAAAUCUUGAAUUAAAAUGUACAUUAAAAAUAUUUUAAAAUUAUUAUUUACAAAAUAAAAAAUAGGAAAACCUAUGACAUCGAUCUUGUCUAUUUGUAUAGCAAUUGUUAACAUUUGCUGUUAGUUUAGCAAUUUUCAACACUGUUUGAUUGUUUUAUCAUAUUAACAUUUUAACGUUUUUGAUUAUUCUUAUAUUUCGUUGUUAUAUUAUCCUUAUUCAUCGAGUUAUUGAAAAUGAAGUUUACCUAACGAGGGAUAAGUUCAGCUGAAUACGAACAAGAUGUUAUCAAUUUUAGCUUCAUCCAUAUUUUAUUCAGUGUUAUUUUCAAGUGGAGACGCUUUCAUUGUCUUAUGCUCUUGUUGAGAAAUGAAAAAGUUGGAUGGAAAUGCCCUUAAGCAGUCGAGAUUUGAGUUACUGAAAGAUGGUAUUCACAAGGUUAAGGUGAUGAAAGGAAGGCUUCUUAUCCAAAUAAAAAAGGAAACCAACUCUUAUUAAUAAAUGAACACUUCGAGUUGUAUUGCCAUUCCUUGGCAAUAAGGAGAAACCAUUUCGAGUCUGGUAAAUAUUGGAAUACAAAAUAAAAUGAAGGCUGGUUGAAAUUGAAAGUUAAACUAGACAUUCCAAGUGAAUAAAAAGAUAAUGACGAUAAUCACCAUUAACACCAUGAAAAGGAUGAUCACUUUUUUACUGGUAAAAUCGUUGUACCAUAUUUAUUUCAAUUGUACGGUUGAAGGGUUGCAAGGACUUUAAUACAUCACAAUUUUUAUACUCUACUGUAUACAAUGUUGAAAGAAUGGAAAAGCAGACCAAAUAAUCCAAUUUAUUGACCUAUCCCCAACAAUUGAUCAAAUUUAUAGCUGGAUACACCAGAAAUGGAUUUGUUAAAGAAUUACAUGAUGGAAAAGAGAAGUCUGAUCAGAAUUUUGGCUCAAUUUAAGACUACUUUGGAUUACAGAUUGACUUUAAUACAAACAAAUGGUUCAAUUUGGAACAAUGUAACUCAAAUCAUUCCCAAACCCAUGUCCACUGGUCAAUCAACCCAAUUCAUCUCAUCUAACUGGUCUACCCUAACCAAGAGUCCUUAAACCAAUGAAACAUCUGACAUUCAUUGAAUUUUACCAUCGGUAAACAGUAUUUUCGGUCGGUAAAAUGUGAUUGACUUAUUGAUUGAGACAAGUGUGGGAUGAAAUGUUCAAGAAUAAAAUCAAAGUUAUUAUUCAA